ACGUAGGGGGCGAGCGUUGUCCGGAAUUACUGGGCGUAAAGGGUGCGCAGGCGGUUUUUUAAGUCAGAUGUGAAAUAUUCGGGCUUAACCUGGGGGGUGCAUUUGAAACUGGAAGACUUGAGUGUAGGAGAGGAAAGUGGAAUUCCUAGUGUAGCGGUGAAAUGCUUAGAUAUUAGGAAGAACGCCAGUGGCGAAGGCGGCUUUCUGGACUAUAACUGACGCUGAGGCACGAAAGCGUGGGGAGCAAACAG
Molecule: ribosomal RNA, 251 nt
Filed under: uncultured prokaryote
Description: partial 16S rRNA
Rfam family: Bacterial small subunit ribosomal RNA
Source: RNAcentral